GUCUAUGGCCAUACCACCCUGAACAAGCCCGAUCUCGUCAGAUCUCGGAAGCAAAGCAGGGUCGGGCCUGGUUACUACUGAGAUGGGAGACCACCUGGUAAUACCAGGUGCAGUAGGCU
This 119-nucleotide ribosomal RNA is filed under the name Saimiri boliviensis boliviensis (Bolivian squirrel monkey). The record is from RNAcentral. Lineage: Eukaryota; Metazoa; Chordata; Mammalia; Primates; Cebidae.